AAUCGAGCUGUUUAAAAUUUACAAAAUUUGCUAUCGGGAUGGCGAACUACCGGCGAUGGUCCGCGAAUGAUUUUGCGUGAGUUCUGUUUGCAUUGGAAAUUAAAAUUUCAUGUGCGUCAUUUCAAUUUUACAGAAUAUAUUAAUCUCGUUCUUGAUAUUUUAGAGAUGUAAGAGCGAACGUCGCAUUCUCUGAAGAGAAUAGAAUGUGAGCGCAAAUUUACGGUCACCCUAUAUCUUCUACAGACAAGAGAUAUAGAAAUAUCAAGAACCGCCAAAAAACGGAGACUCCUGGAGAGACUCUGUACCAGGGACCCACGCCUCAAUCGCUUCCAAGUAGCAACGUGGCGCGGCGCCCGGGUCGUCGUGGCGAGAGGGUGGCGAUUUUUCGCCCCGAGGGUGGCGCGAGGGGAAUGGAGAACGCACGGCCGGGCUGCUGCUGUUGUCACGGCGCGUAGCCAUAUCGGGGGAGCAGUGCGAGGCCGGCUAUCAGCCGCCCAACAUCGACGUGUCGGGAUUACGUUUGCAUAUGUAACACGGCUGCUGUACAGGCAGUACGUACACGCUAUCAUUUAGACGGACAGACAGACGAACAGACGGACGGACGGACGGACGGACGGACGGGUAGACAGACACAUAACAGCGCCACGCUCUUCGCCCUCCUGCCCCCUCACGCGUGGUACCGCCACCGUGUGCGUCUCGUUCUUUCGCUGAGUUUACACAUGGAAGAAUAAGUAGAACGAACAGAAGGGAACAGUGAAAUUUCUUUCUCAUCUCGGUGAGAAUUGGAGGGGACGAGAGGCCCUUCGCAAAUCCGCGCGGCAUGCGUCGUGAUCGAUAAGGGCGACCGGAGGACUGGUGCACACCGUCGUCCCCUUUCAGUAGUAGCAGCAAAAAGGAUAGUUGCUUCGUGUCCCGCGUUGAGGUCGAAAGAUGACUGGGAAUUCCGAUAGGCGGAGAGUGCGAUGGGCUAGCACGCGAUAGAGGAUGACAGGAGAAAGAGAGUGCGAGUGGGCGAGGCGGAUGAGAGAAGGAGCAAGAAGGGGGUGAAAAGAGAGAGAGAGAGAGAGAAAGAGAGAAGAUAAAAGAGAUCAAGAGAGACAGUGAGGAAGUGAAAAGAAGGGAGAUCUGUGAAACGAGAGGGGAAAAGUGAUGAGGAAGCAAGAAGAGUCGUUUGCAAAAAACUCUAUGAAGAAACAUCAGUCGAA
Molecule: long non-coding RNA, 1205 nt
Organism: Pogonomyrmex barbatus (red harvester ant)
Lineage: Eukaryota; Metazoa; Arthropoda; Insecta; Hymenoptera; Formicidae
Source: RefSeq, a predicted model, not a curated record